Pelobates cultripes (western spadefoot toad) is the source of this 225-nucleotide non-coding RNA. Lineage: Eukaryota; Metazoa; Chordata; Amphibia; Anura; Pelobatidae. The record is from the annotation of a GenBank genome assembly.
CAAGACACCCUACAGUACAAAGGUUAUAUUCAUGGUGGCAUUUCAGUAGUCCUAAAGAGUGAGACCCACGGCUUAACUAAGCUUUCCAUUCCUCUGUUUGUCAUUGCCUCUCGCAUAGAGACAGCCACUUCCACUUCUCACCACUCCUUCACCCCACGCACUAGACAGGGAGGCGGGUAGAGGGACAAGCUGGGCUGACCAUUUCAUUUCUGGGGAAGGCUCGGG